Triplophysa rosa is the source of this 2729-nucleotide long non-coding RNA. RefSeq lists it as uncharacterized. The record is from RefSeq and is a predicted model, not a curated record. NCBI's taxonomy places the organism in Eukaryota, Metazoa, Chordata, Actinopteri, Cypriniformes, Nemacheilidae. The transcript is spliced from 4 exons.
UCAUGAGUAGGCUAUAAAAUAAUAACACAUUUUUUUAUUGAUGCAGAAGUACAGUAAAGCUGAAAUGAAUGACACGGGGUUGUAUUAUGACAUGAAAAUGUAUUAUCGAUCAUUAUUAUUAAUUUUCCCCAUUAAUGUAUUUAGCACAUUCUUCUCACACAUGUUUAUUUUAUUUUAUUAUGUAAAUUUUGGUGGAAAUUAGCUGUGCAUUAGCUCUUUGGAAAACGUGUCCCCUUUAAGUACUACUAAAACUGGUAUGGGUUUUUUAUUAUUUUUAUUUAGUAUUGAAUGGAGGUGUACUCGGAUCAGGUGACGUUACAGGUGUAGUGUUGCUACAUUAGGUCUUUGUUAACUUUGAUAUAAGUGACAUGGAACUUUUUAGGCCUAUAUAUGUAGUUUUUCACAAUCCUUUGGUUGGUGGUUUUUGUUAUUCAUGUACCAGCUGAAAAUGAUUGACAGCUCUCUGUCCAACCCACUUUCAGCUUCAGUACCAUGGAGAGCAACACAUGAGAACACGCGUGUGCAACUACAGGAUCUCGGCUUUGAAUCAUGCAGUGAUAUUUGACAUGAAUUCUGAUGAGAUCGUUCACACCGGGGUCAUGCGGUUGGGAUUCGGACAUGUCAUGCAUCGGAUUCAGGACCUCAUAUGAAAGCCCAACAUGUUCAGUCUGUUCUCACACAAAGCUCUCGUACGGCUUCAGAAGACAAAGACCAGCCUGAAUAUUUCGCCAAACAUCCUUAAAGAGUCUUGAGGAUGAGCAACAACAUGAUGGAAUCCAAAAAUGAGAUCCCUGGAGUUUGCAACGUGGGAUGGUUUCUUUCCUCCUCCCUCCAAGCAGCAAAAUGUGGAUCUUUGAUAAAAUUGGCGGUUUUACACAAACAGACCCCUGCUGACGGUGUGAAUGACCAGGUCCAUCCCAUCACGGCUGGAACACAGAGGGACGCUCUCAUCCCGAAAGCACCGACACCUGCUGAUCAACAUCAACCUGAGACAGACAAGACACCACAAAAAACAAAACGAUUUCACAAACCUUCCCAGAGGCUGUCUCGGAUGUUUCUCCUAUAGUUGCUCAUGAGAAAUAAGAGUGUCAUUGUAUUUUCAUUUGCUCUCCGUUGAAUCUCAUUGUUGUUUGGAGAAAUAAUUGAGCUAUUAAAGAGAUCUCAUGUGUGGUUUUCUCUUUUACAGGUGAAUUCCACCGAGCGUGCCGAGUGAAGACGAGGCAUCAUUUAGCUGUGAAAGAACGUGUUUUUCUCCUCGGUGUUGAAAACAGAUCCGUUCUGCAGGAAAUCUGGAGGAAAUUGCAGUUUGACUGUCAGAUCAUAUCAUCACAGAAUCCUUUUACUCGGUAUCACAGCCAUCAUCUGUCACACAAACAUCACCGGCUGCUGCUGAAGAUGCUGCGUGCUUGAGUUUAUUUAUGUGACCAGUGUUUCUUUAAAACCUCCAUAAAAAAAUGGAGUUCAGCGAGACAUAAAACCAUUCUGUUGUCAAUUCAUAUUGACACAACUGAGCCAAUUCUAUGAAAACAUUUUGUUGAGACAAAGUAAACCCUCCACAUCUUACAAGCCACCUGCUGUCAUCAUGUGUUUUUCCACACUAUCCACACCAUGACGUGCCAUUUGUUUCUUUUGUCAAUUGGGUUUCUGUUGCAACCUGCAAACCUCCGGAGGCUGAACAUCAUCUUAAGGAUACAUAUGAUAUGUCGUCUCAUUAACCCUUUUUGGCGGGGGGUAUAAUCAUUUUUAAGAGUUCGUGUCAAAUGUCACAUGCAGGAUUUUGUGUUUCUUAAAUAAAGUGCAGUUCUUGCAGUCAAAUCGCUUUGUUUUUACAUUCUGCCCACCAUCUUUUGCCACCUACAAUGUCUUGUUUCUUUCUUGGCAAUUACUUCACCCACACCCUGUUAUGUGCGUGUAUUUGUGUGUUUGUCAUGCCGUGGAUGCAGUCUGGAUGUUGAAACGGCACAAAUCACGCAUCAGAUUCUGUGUUUUGAAAGCACACACAACACACCGUAAGUGCACAAUUUCCCUAUCCAAUAAUAGUUGUUAAAGAAACAUUUGCCGAAGUCUUCUCUCAAGUGUUAUUUUUUUCGUGCAUGUGACGCUGAAUCCUUGAUGCAGUUUUCUUGUGUACAUGUAAAGUUUAUUCGGCCGUACGUCCAGAGGUGUCUCGCAUCUCCUCAGGUAAGCGUUUUGUCAUGUCGCCUUUCAUUCGUGAGUUUUAUUCCCCGUCCCUCUGACCUCGUGUUUUUCUUCCCUGUUGUCUUCUGCCGGUGCUCGUGUGAAAUGCCUGUUUAGGCGACGGCACCCGGCGCUUUGGGGUGAGUUUGGCCCGAUGCCCUUUACCUCCCUCACCGCCCUGUAUGUGUGAUCGCAUUAGCCGUCGCGCAGAGCUCACAGCGGCCGUGGAGGUUUGGGGGUUCCUGCAGAUGGCCGGUAAACUAUGACAGGUCGGACAUCAUGGGACGGGCUGUUAUUAUAAAGUGUUCGCGUCAUGGCAAACACUAAAUUGCUUGGUUGCGGUGGGUGGCUUUUAUAUGGUUUGGGUCCCUCGGAGCCCUUCAAGACCAGACCGAUACAAAGAGCGCAGCGUUUUCACCUUUAAAUGAAUGAUGCUUUUUAAAACACACAAUAAUGAUUCUUGAGUCUGAAUAGCUUAAAGAGUACAUAACAUGAGAUCGUGAAAAUGACAUUUCAUGCAGUGUGUAAUGUGUUUGAAAGUAAGCAGUCUG